UACAAGGGGUGCAAACGUUGCUCGGAAUUAUUGGGCGUAAAGCGCGCGCAGGCGGUCGUUCAAGUCGAGUGUGAAAGCCCCCGGCUCAACUGGGGAGGGUCAUUCGAUACUGAUCGACUCGAAGGCAGGAGAGGGAAGCGGAAUUCCCGGUGUAGUGGUGAAAUGCGUAGAUAUCGGGAGGAACACCAGUGGCGAAGGCGGCUUCCUGGCCUGUUCUUGACGCCGAGGCGCGAAAGCUAGGGGAGCAAACGGG
This 253-nucleotide ribosomal RNA is filed under the name uncultured bacterium. RNAcentral's name for it is "partial 16S ribosomal RNA". It matches the Rfam family "Bacterial small subunit ribosomal RNA", at positions 524 to 776 of the family's 1533-position model. The record is from RNAcentral.